Molecule: ribosomal RNA, 447 nt
Filed under: uncultured bacterium
Lineage: Bacteria
Description: bacterial SSU rRNA
Rfam family: Bacterial small subunit ribosomal RNA
Source: RNAcentral
UGGGGAAUAUUGGACAAUGGGCGCAAGCCUGAUCCAGCCAUGCCGCGUGAGUGACGAAGGUCUUCGGGUUGUAAAAUCCUUUCGUUGGGGACGAUAAUGACGGUACCCAAAGAAGAAGCUCCGGCUAACUUCGUGCCAGCAGCCGCGGUAAUACGAAGGGGGCUAGCGUUGUUCGGAUUUACUGGGCGUAAAGCGCGUGUAGGCGGACUUGUAAGUUGGGGGUGAAAUCCCGAGGCUCAACCUCGGAACUGCCUCCAAAACUACAAAUCUGGACCUAAGUAGAGGCAAGUGGAAUUGCGAGUGUAGAGGUGAAAUUCGUAGAUAUUUGCAGGAACACCAGUGGCGAAGGCGACUUGCUGGACUUAUGGUGACGCUGAGACGCGAAAGCGUGGGGAGCAAACAGGAUUAGAUACCCAAGUAGUCCCUGAGCGGGCUGGCAAGGCGCAU